Pan paniscus (pygmy chimpanzee) is the source of this 107-nucleotide small nuclear RNA. NCBI's taxonomy places the organism in Eukaryota, Metazoa, Chordata, Mammalia, Primates, Hominidae. The record is from Ensembl.
GUGGUCACUUCGGCAGCACAUAUCCUCAAAUUGGAACGAUACAGAGAAGAUUAGUAUGGCCUCUGUGCAAAGAUGACAUGCAAAUUCAUGAAGCGUUCCAUAUUUUA